GCACGGGUGGCAGAGCGGUCAAUUGCAUGAGACUGUAGAUCUCACGCCUUCGGGCUACGGGGGUUCGAAUCCCUCCCCGUGCA
RNAcentral lists this transfer RNA (83 nucleotides) under bacterium. RNAcentral's name for it is "tRNA-Tyr". It matches the Rfam family "tRNA". From Rfam's summary of the family: Transfer RNA (tRNA) molecules are approximately 80 nucleotides in length. The record is from RNAcentral.